GCUGGGCAUAGUGGCACAUGCCUGUAAUCCCAGCAACUUGGGAUGCUGAGACAGGAGGAUCUAAAAUUCAAGACUAGCUUUGGCAACUUAUUGAGACCUUGUUUCAA
Molecule: small RNA, 107 nt
Filed under: Marmota monax (woodchuck)
Lineage: Eukaryota; Metazoa; Chordata; Mammalia; Rodentia; Sciuridae
Source: RNAcentral